UACGACCAGACACAUUUGUGCGAGGGGCUGCUUAAAUAGGCUUUUCUGUUGAUGAUGACAUAUCUUGCCAGAAAGCUAAAAGCAUUCGUGGCUCAAAUUACAUGCCUUCGUUAAGCACCAAGCCGCCUAUGGAAAAGGCCCGUCAGUGGGUGGGUUCAUCAAACGGAACGCUAUGCUAAAACACCUGCCAACAGGUUUGUCCCUGUGUUCAAGUACCGCUUUCUCU
This 226-nucleotide long non-coding RNA is filed under the name Volvox carteri. RNAcentral's name for it is "long non-coding RNA (VCAR_LNC004170)". Lineage: Eukaryota; Viridiplantae; Chlorophyta; Chlorophyceae; Chlamydomonadales; Volvocaceae. The record is from RNAcentral.